RNAcentral lists this ribosomal RNA (467 nucleotides) under uncultured bacterium. RNAcentral describes it as "partial 16S ribosomal RNA". It matches the Rfam family "Bacterial small subunit ribosomal RNA", at positions 355 to 812 of the family's 1533-position model. The record is from RNAcentral.
UGGGGAAUUUUGGACAAUGGGGGCAACCCUGAUCCAGCAAUGCCGCGUGUGUGAAGAAGGCCUUCGGGUUGUAAAGCACUUUUGUCCGGAAAGAAAACGCCGUGGUUAAUACCCGUGGCGGAUGACGGUACCGGAAGAAUAAGCACCGGCUAACUACGUGCCAGCAGCCGCGGUAAUACGUAGGGUGCAAGCGUUAAUCGGAAUUACUGGGCGUAAAGCGUGCGCAGGCGGUCCGCUAAGACAGAUGUGAAAUCCCCGGGCUUAACCUGGGAACUGCAUUUGUGACUGGCGGGCUAGAGUAUGGCAGAGGGGGGUUAGAAUUCCACGUGUAGCAGUGAAAUGCGUAGAGAUGUGGAGGAAUACCGAUGGCGAAGGCAGCCCCCUGGGCCAAUACUGACGCUCAUGCACGAAAGCGUGGGGGAGCAAACAGGAUUAGAUACCCUGGUAGUCCACGCCCUAAACGAUGU